AUAGCAUAUAACUCUGAUCUGAUCUGAAGGACAUUAUUAUACUGGAUAUACGUGUUAUACGUCUUGUUCGAACGUGACGAUAUAGAAGUAAGAAGAAAACAUUUACAAUUUUGAGAAUCGGUGGGCAGGCAAAUAAGGUCGGGGUUGAAGAUCAUAUAGCUGUCACUCUCUUUCAAGAAUCCAAACGGUUAUGGAAUAUAAUAACAACUGCCCAGAGAUGACCGGUCAGGAGAUACUCGAGCUGUUUAUCGAGAGCGGGCUUCAUGCUGUAGGGAGUAACAAAGUUCAGUGGAGGGAUACUGCAGUAUGUGUUGGCAUCGUAAGUCUGGAAGGUGGAGCGAAAACAGUCUUUAUCAACCGAAGCAGUACCCGACAUCACGCUGAAGAUGGCCUAAUCAGAUUCUUUGAAGAGAACCAGAGAAGAAUAAGUUCCGUGAAGAUUUUGAGUAAAUAUUCACCCUGCAGCAAUCCGGGUUUUGACUGCUGUGGCAGAUUGCGCGAGAUGAAGAAAAAACUUAACAAAGGUAAUGGUAAAGAAAUGAGUUUCGAGUUGGUGUUUUCCGCUCUCUACAAAAUUAACAGACCGUCCUGUUUGCAACGAGGUUGCUUCAAGGGCAGUGCAAGCGGGCAUAACCCAUCCGAAGAGGGCCGCGAAAAUAUAGAAAAUCUCGUGUCACUAGGUUUGAGCGUCAGAACCUUCGAGACUGGAGACUGGGCCGAGUUGAUAGAGCUCUUAGCUCUAUGGGAUGCUUCAAAAGGCAUGUCGGGGACCGGUCUCUCUGCAAUCCGCUAUGGAGACAAAUACGGCCGGUGGCGCGACUUUGAGGACGCAGAACUCAAAAGAGAUUUCGAAAUCUUGAAGCAACGUCUUGAAGGUGAAGUGAGAGUUAGGAUGAAUUCCCUGCGCAAAAUUGAUGUCACGAUUUUGGAAAAAGAAGUUUGUAAAAUCAAGGAAGCCUUAGCACAAUGGAAAUAGUAUGGUAUUAUCAUCAUAGUUGAAAUAUACGCCUAUGCAGAGGGCACCGCACACCUAACGACCGGUCCACUGACGAUCUGAUUUAUUUUGAAACAAAUCGCAUUUUGCUCACUUUCUGAAAAUGUGAAUGAAACGCAUAUUGUAAAAAAAUAGUUGAAAAAUAGUUAUAAAACAAUUUUGCAUGAUUUGCAAGCCUUUAUUUUGGAGUAAAGGCCAAAUAAGUUUCAAAUCGUAUAGCCAAUCGUACAAUUGCUAAGACGUCAUUACAACUAGGCCUAGAUAUUACAUUUACUUUUAUUAUAAUAUAAUAAGGAUUAUAUAUAGUCACAGAUUCGAACUAUUCGUACGAUGAUUUAGAACAUUACAUAAUGAGACAUUCCAUGCCUUAAUGUUGGCAUCUAAUUCUACUACAUCAAAUCAGGUCACAGACCAAUCGCAAAGGGGCUCUCACAAUUACUCGUGCAAUCGUUUGCGAUCAUUUGGUCACAAUAUAUGUUGCACACAAUCGCAAAGGUUGUAAGCAGUCGCAUCACGACUUGUGAAAGGGGCUUAAGGCGUGUGGUAGCCUUAAGAUAUUGUAGUUUUCUACUGGUAUAACAGUAUAUAAGGCAAAUAUAAUCGUAAUAUUUCAA
This is a long non-coding RNA of Lytechinus pictus (painted urchin), 1608 nucleotides long. RefSeq lists it as uncharacterized. Lineage: Eukaryota; Metazoa; Echinodermata; Echinoidea; Temnopleuroida; Toxopneustidae. The transcript is spliced from 2 exons. The record is from RefSeq and is a predicted model, not a curated record.